Molecule: ribosomal RNA, 427 nt
Filed under: uncultured Variovorax sp.
Lineage: Bacteria; Pseudomonadati; Pseudomonadota; Betaproteobacteria; Burkholderiales; Comamonadaceae
Description: bacterial SSU rRNA
Rfam family: Bacterial small subunit ribosomal RNA
Source: RNAcentral
UGGGGAAUUUUGGACAAUGGGCGCAAGCCUGAUCCAGCCAUGCCGCGUGCAGGAUGAAGGCCUUCGGGUUGUAAACUGCUUUUGUACGGAACGAAACGGCCUUUUCUAAUAAAGAGGGCUAAUGACGAUACCGUAAGAAUAAGCACCGGCUAACUACGUGCCAGCAGCCGCGGUAAUACGUAGGGUGCAAGCGUUAAUCGGAAUUACUGGGCGUAAAGCGUGCGCAGGCGGUUAUGUAAGACAGUUGUGAAAUCCCCGGGCUCAACCUGGGAACUGCAUCUGUGACUGCAUAGCUAGAGUACGGUAGAGGGGGAUGGAAUUCCGCGUGUAGCAGUGAAAUGCGUAGAUAUGCGGAGGAACACCGAUGGCGAAGGCAAUCCCCUGGACCUGUACUGACGCUCAUGCACGAAAGCGUGGGGAGCAAACA